UGAGGUUGGCGCUGUGAGGUAAUGGUAGUGAGGUAUGUGUCCUGCAGUACCGUGUCUUACCUGAGGUUGGCGCUGUGAGGUAAUGGUAGUGAGGUAUGUGUCCUGCAGUACUGUGUCUUACCUGAGGUUGGCGCUGUGAGGUAAUGGUAGUGAGGUAUGUGUCCUGCAGUACUGUGUCUUACCUGAGGUUGGCGCUGUGAGGUAAUGGUAGUGAGGUAUGUGUCCUGCAGUACCGUGUCUUACCUGAGGUUGGCGCUGUGAGGUAAUGGUAGUGAGGUAUGUGUCCUGCAGUACUGUGUCUUACCUGAGGUUGGCGCUGUGAGGUAAUGGUAGUGAGGUAUGUGUCCUGCAGUACCGUGUCUUACCUGAGGUUGGCGCUGUGAGGUAAUGGUAGUGAGGUAUGUGUCCUGCAGUACCGUGUCUUACCUGAGGUUGGCGCUGUGAGUGCAGACAC
Oncorhynchus keta (chum salmon) is the source of this 454-nucleotide long non-coding RNA. RefSeq lists it as uncharacterized. The transcript is spliced from 3 exons. Lineage: Eukaryota; Metazoa; Chordata; Actinopteri; Salmoniformes; Salmonidae. The record is from RefSeq and is a predicted model, not a curated record.